CACGUAGGGCGCAAGCGUUGUCCGGAAUUAUUGGGCGUAAAGAGCUCGUAGGCGGUCUGUUGCGUCCGCUGUGAAAACUCGGGGCUUAACCCCGAGCCUGCAGUGGAUACGGGCAGACUAGAGGUAGGUAGGGGAGAGUGGAAUUCCUGGUGUAGCGGUGAAAUGCGCAGAUAUCAGGAAGAACACCCGUGGCUAAGGCGGCUCUCUAGUACGGUACUGACGCUGAGACGCGAAAGCGUGGGGAGCGAACAGG
RNAcentral lists this ribosomal RNA (253 nucleotides) under uncultured bacterium. Its description in RNAcentral is "partial 16S ribosomal RNA". It matches the Rfam family "Bacterial small subunit ribosomal RNA", at positions 524 to 776 of the family's 1533-position model. The record is from RNAcentral.